Molecule: ribosomal RNA, 243 nt
Filed under: uncultured bacterium
Lineage: Bacteria
Description: partial 16S ribosomal RNA
Rfam family: Bacterial small subunit ribosomal RNA
Source: RNAcentral
UUCGGUGAUAUAAUUAGUGGCAAACGGGUGAGUAACACGUGGAUAUCUACCUAAUAGUGCGGAAUAAUCAUUGGAAACGAUGACUAAUACCGCAUACUCCCUCCGGGGGAAAGAUUUAUCGCUAUUAGAUGAGUCCGCGUUAGAUUAGCUUGUUGGUGGGGUAAUGGCCUACCAAGGCGACGAUCUAUAGCUGGUUUGAGAGGAUGAUCAGCCACACUGGAACUGAGACACGGUCCAGACUCC